Molecule: ribosomal RNA, 253 nt
Filed under: uncultured bacterium
Lineage: Bacteria
Description: partial 16S ribosomal RNA
Rfam family: Bacterial small subunit ribosomal RNA
Source: RNAcentral
UACGUAGGGUGCAAGCGUUGUCCGGAAUUAUUGGGCGUAAAGAGCUCGUAGGCGGUCUGUCGCGUCUGCUGUGAAAACUCGGGGCUCAACCCCGAGCCUGCUUCCGAUACGGGCAGACUAGAGGUAUGCAGGGGAGAAUGGAAUUCCUGGUGUAGCGGUGAAAUGCGCAGAUAUCAGGAGGAACACCGGCGGCGAAGGCGGUUCUCUGGGCAUUACCUGACGCUGAGGAGCGAAAGUGUGGGGAGCGAACAGG